CACCUCUAGCAUUACUAGUAUUAGAGGCACUGCCUGCCCAGUGACAUUAGUUAAACGGCCGCGGUAUCCUGACCGUGCAAAGGUAGCAUAAUCAUUUGUUCUUUAAAUAGGGACUUGUAUGAACGGCCACACGAGGGUUCUACUGUCUCUUGCUUCCAAUCAGUGAAAUUGACCUCCCCGUGCAGAGGCGGGGAUACACAAAUAAGACGAGAAGACCCUAUGGAGCUUUAAUUAACUAACUCAAAGAAAAUAUAAAUAACCGCCAAGGGAUAAUAAUCUUCUACCUGAGUUAGCAAUUUCGGUUGGGGUGACCUCGGAGAACAGAAAAACCUCCGAGUGACUAAAAUCUAGACUUACCAGUCAAAAUGUAGUGUCACUUAUUGAUCCAAAAUAUUUGAUCAACGGAACAAGUUACCCUAGGGAUAACAGCGCAAUCCUAUUCAAGAGUUCAUAUCGACAAUAGGGUUUACGACCUCGAUGUUGGAUCAGGACACCCCAAUGGUGCAGCCGCUAUUAAAGGUUCGUUUGUUCAACGAUUAAAGUCCU
Molecule: ribosomal RNA, 546 nt
Filed under: Camelus bactrianus (Bactrian camel)
Lineage: Eukaryota; Metazoa; Chordata; Mammalia; Artiodactyla; Camelidae
Description: partial large subunit ribosomal RNA
Rfam family: Bacterial large subunit ribosomal RNA
Source: RNAcentral